CAUGUCAAAAUAGUGGAGAUUUGUUAUUAAAUUCGUAACAGGCUUUUUCAUCGAGUUUUAAGCUUUGGUACGAAAGCUGUUAUGCUUCGAACUGUUGAUUUUAAACAUCUGAUGUAGCAGAGUAAUGUGAAGAUAAUCAAGGACAUCAAAACGUCAAUUAAUCCGGUUGUAUUUAAAGGAUGAUGGUUCUUUGCAGAAAACAUUUAGUUUAAGCCAAAAGUGAUUAUUUAUUAGGUUAUCAAAGAACAGUGAUUUUUUGUCCGUUUUAUCGGGCCGUGAGUUAACAGAUCGUAAAACUGAUCUGAAUGCAAAGUGAUUAUAUAUUAGGUUAUCCAAUUGUCAACCGGCAUACUUUCGGUUUUUUCUGGUCCCGUUGUUUGGGCUCAUGAGGUAACAAAUCGUAAAAUUGGUGAGCAUCCUUCGGGAGAACAUGCUUAAGUUCUUGAAGAUCUUUAAACUUGUUAGAACUUAUUGGCAAUCGGGCGCGGUACAGCUUCUGAGGAUGACACAUAACAGCGUAGCUUGACUUGUGAGGAAGAAGUUUGAACUCGCCGGCGAAUGACAGUUUAUACCAAAUUUUGCCGUCGCUGCCGUAUUUCAAAACUCGAAGGUUUGUCACGCAAGGAUCACCAACACCAGUUCCUGUGAUUGAAACAAAUUAUUGAUGGAACAUCUUUUAUGCGAGUUGUUUACCUGGUCGAAUGCUGCUAUACUUCAUCACGUUCGGGUCAUCAUAAUUGAGGAAGAAGUCAUGAGUUAAACUUUUCACGUCCAAUGGAAAUGGAUUUGUUCGAGCUACUCGGAUUGAUUCAACAAAAUCAGAAGGAUCUUUCUUUUUGCGGGUACUACCGCUGCUGACAACAGUUUCUUUGCUGUUAGAUCCACUCGGAGACGGCAAAGAAAAACUUUGAUUCGAUUGUAUAUCAAAAAAUGGAUCGAUAUUCGAAUCAAAGGGACAUGGAUCUUCUUCCACAGAAUCAACAUCAACUUGGGCGAACAAAGCUGCGUUUUGUUUUUUGAUUUUAUUCAUGUUUUUGGGCAUUAUGGACGAAUGAAAAUAUUUGUUUAGAAGUGAAAUUCGUAAUAAUUAAAAAGUCGCUCAGUCGCUAAUUUGAAGUAUGAUCACUGCCUACUAAAUUCAAUUUAGAAAAUCUAGAAAAAAGUUAAGGCCUGUAAAGGUUUUGCCA
Bradysia coprophila is the source of this 1187-nucleotide long non-coding RNA. NCBI's taxonomy places the organism in Eukaryota, Metazoa, Arthropoda, Insecta, Diptera, Sciaridae. The record is from RefSeq and is a predicted model, not a curated record.